GGAAUCUUCCACAAUGGGCGAAAGCCUGAUGGAGCAACGCCGCGUGUGUGAUGAAGGGUUUCGGCUCGUAAAACACUGUUGUAAGAGAAGAAUGACAUUGAGAGUAACUGUUCAAUGUGUGACGGUAUCUUACCAGAAAGGAACGGCUAAAUACGUGCCAU
RNAcentral lists this ribosomal RNA (161 nucleotides) under uncultured bacterium. Its description in RNAcentral is "partial 16S ribosomal RNA". It matches the Rfam family "Bacterial small subunit ribosomal RNA", at positions 358 to 511 of the family's 1533-position model. The record is from RNAcentral.